Ictalurus punctatus (channel catfish) is the source of this 2583-nucleotide long non-coding RNA. The record is from Ensembl. NCBI's taxonomy places the organism in Eukaryota, Metazoa, Chordata, Actinopteri, Siluriformes, Ictaluridae.
UUAUAUUUGUUUUCUUUUACAUUAUUUUCUGUAAGAGUCCUAAAAAGGCAAUCAGAGUUCCUUCAGCCUCAGUGCAGUGAUGAAGUGAUCUUGUGUUGAUUACCUGUAAUCAGAGCACACACUCCAAAUCACAGCCUACACAUACUGACCGCAGUGACCUUACCACGUAAAACCACGACAGAUCAUAUGCGGCUAUUCGACAAUGCUGAUUUUCAUUCCGUUUGUUUGUAUGGACAUAGACAGACAGACAUUGCUAGAUAAACAGAUAGAUAGACAGACAGACAGAGAGAGAGAUAGAUAGAUAGAUAGACAUAGAUAGACAGAUAGAUAGAGAGACACAUAGACAUAGAUAGAUCUUCCGAAAACACAGUGCCUCAGUUUCUAUUUCAUCAUCAUCUUUGAACCUUUUCAUCACCUGACGUCACUGAUGUGGUCUGUGGGUUGGUCUUUCAUCAAGCAGAUGAUCUAAUGGAGUAACUUCUAGGGUAAUUAUGAGGCAACUGUCUCAAACAGCAGUAAUGAAUCAUGCGAUGUAAAGCAGUCUCAUGCCUGUGCGAUGGGAAAUCCAUGGACAAUGAACACAACUUCUGCGUGUAGACUGGAGCAGUCUAGGACACGGUUCCUGAUUUUGAAUUACUCUCUGCUCUGUUUGACUUUCCUCAUCGGGACUGCGGCGAAUCUGCUCGUGUGUUGGGUCGCUUUCCGAGAUAAAAGCCUGCGCACUGGCAGCAACGCGCUGCUGGUGAACCUGGCCGCUGGAGAUCUGAUCAGAUGUUUAGUAGACUCUCCGGUGUUCUUGGCCUUGUUAGUUCUGAGAGAGAAGCGCGUGAGGAACGGCUCGGUGCUGUGCCGCGUUCAGCAGCUCACUUAUUUACUGUGCAGCUGCGCUCAGUUACUCACACUGGCGACCAUCAGCGUGGAGAGAUCCCAGACCAUCGCGUCUCCGUUUAGCACCGACAAAAGGAAAGGACGGGUCCGGAUCUGGAUCCUGAUUAUUUGGAUCUUUGCACUUACAGUCGCGGUGUCCUCUCUGAUUCUGUCCGCAGAUCCCCUGUCCUACUCAAUGUGCCGCCACCUGCACUCUUUCGACGCCUAUGUUUUGAUUCCCAUCUGGACCUUAUGUGUUAUUUUGAUAACCGUUAACUACUUGCGCAUCUUCGUCGUCGUGAAGCAGCACUCUAAUAAGAUCUUGGACUCGGGAGUGCAGCCGAGGCUGUGUGUAGUGACGCGCGUCUCAAGCGGCCGGCUGGCCCAGUCCAGUGCACUAGAGGCGGGGGGAGGUGAGGGGAACUACCCGCGCUCGGGCCCUGAGAUCGUGGGCGCUGUUUGUGUUCUCACCCCUAAAGCCAAAGCGCUGGGCAAAGCAAGAGUAGAGGGAAAAUUAGCCAAGAGACUCGGCUACAUCAUCGCAAAUGUGGUCGUGUUCUGGAUGCCGCUGGUCCUCCUACUGACACUCAGACUGGUGCUGGAGUGCACAGAGUGCUGUAUUUGGGGAAUGUGGGAGCUGGAGACCUUGGCGACAGUAUUGACGUGUGUACCUGCUGCUGUGGACCCGCUCAUAUACACGCUGCUCCAUCGCCACUUCUGCACCGAGUUCCGCAAACUCUUCUGCACCAAUCAGAGCUGCUGAUAACUGAUUGACCAAUCAGGAGCCGGCUCUGUGAAGAAGAUGAAGCCUUGUUUGAUCUGUAUCAAAUCUACUAAUCUAAAACAUCUACUGGGAUAAGAAAGGUUUAAUAUUCUGGUCUUGAAACAGAAAUAUAUGGUUAGAAGGCAAAGCUUCUUUAAUAAUUAGACCAGAUUUUUGACUCCUUUUUGUGUUUUCAUUAAUGAUGAAUGCAAACCAAAAUUCCCAGAUGAUAGUUUCUUUCUGAAAGAGCAUUCAGGGAUCUGCACAAAAUCACAUAAUUAAAACCAUUGCAUUUAUAAUGCCUGCACUUGACAUAGACUGGGGGCUUGGAUUCAUGAACUACCACACAUUACUUCUCAAGAAAUUAUGCCUGAUAACCUUUUUAGAAACGCACAGAUUUAUGUGUUCAACUUGUAUAAACAUUUUGUAGGUCUAUUAAGGUUCUGUGUUUGUGUCCAGAAGGUUACAAGGUCAAAUCCCACACCUUCUAGCAGGCCACUGUUGAGCCCUUGGAUUGUGCUUCACUUGUAAAUCCUGUUGGAUGAAAGCGACUCCUGAAUUAAUAAAUAUAAAUGUACAAACAGCACCAAACACUAUUUAUUUAUUUAUUUAUUUGGUGUAAAAUCUAUGUUUAAUAUAAGUUGAUACAGACAUUUAAAACAUGUAAUUGAUAAAGAGAGAAAUGAAUAACUUUCUGCUUCUUUGACUAACCAGGAAGUGUUUGGGCUAGCUGUUUUAAAAUGCAAAGGACUCUCAGUACUUUUAUGCAUCGAGACCACAGAAAUAUACAGAACUGCGUAAAUGUCAGAGACCACCCUUUCGUUUUCAAUCAAACGGUCAUUUGGUACUUAUUGCUAAUUAUUUAAUGGCAAAGAAUAAUGAUGGGAAAAUGUACAGUACAUUCAUUCUAUGUUCAGCCAUGCAGUACUUUAUGCAGAUCAAUAUGCAAGUGC